Molecule: ribosomal RNA, 441 nt
Filed under: uncultured bacterium
Lineage: Bacteria
Description: partial 16S ribosomal RNA
Rfam family: Bacterial small subunit ribosomal RNA
Source: RNAcentral
CCUACGGGAGGCAGCAGUGGGGAAUAUUGCACAAUGGGCGAAAGCCUGAUGCAGCAACGCCGCGUGAAGGAAGACGGUUUUCGGAUUGUAAACUUCUGUUCUUAGUGAAGAAUAAUGACGGUAACUAAGGAUCAAGCCACGGCUAACUACGUUCAAGCAGCCGCGGUAAUCCGUAGGUGGCAAGCGUUGUCCGGAAUUACUGGGUGGAAAGGGAGCGUAGGCGGGAAGCCAAGUCAGCUGGUAAAACUACGGGCUUAACCUGUAGACUGCAGUUGAUACUGGCUUUCUAGAGUGAAGUAGAGGUUGGCGGAAUUCCGGGUGAAGCGGUGAAAUGCGUAGAUAUUCGGAGGAACACCGGUGGCGAAGGCGGCCAACUGGGUUUAAACUGACGCUGAGGCUCGAAAGUGUGGGGAGCAAACAGGAUUAGAUACCCGGGUAGUC